UUCAACUUCUAUACCCAAAACAGUUAAGGAGGCUCUGAAUCACCCUAGUUGGCGUAGUGCCAUCUUGAGGAGAUAAAUUCUCUUGAUAAUAAUCAUACCUGGGAUCUAGUAGAUUUACACAAAGGAAAAAAUGUUGUGGGGUAGAAAUGGGUAUUUGUAGUCAAAGUGAAUCUAGAAUUCUCUGUGGCGAGACUUAAAGCUCGACUGAUAGCGAAAGCUUAUACUCAGACUUAUGGGGUAGACUAUU
RNAcentral lists this long non-coding RNA (247 nucleotides) under Carica papaya (papaya). RNAcentral's name for it is "long non-coding RNA (CPAP_LNC012463)". The record is from RNAcentral. Lineage: Eukaryota; Viridiplantae; Streptophyta; Magnoliopsida; Brassicales; Caricaceae.